UACGUAGGGUGCGAGCGUUGUCAGGAAUUGUUGGGCGUAAAGAGCUUGUAGGCGGUUUGUCGCGUCUGCCGUGAAAAUUCGAGGCUCAACCUCGAACUUGCGGUGGGUACGGGCAGACUAGAGUGUGGUAGGGGAGACUGGAAUUCCUGGUGUAGCGGUGAAAUGCGCAGAUAUCAGGAGGAACACCGAUGGCGAAGGCAGGUCUCUGGGCCACUACUGACGCUGAGAAGCGAAAGCAUGGGGAGCGAACAGG
This 253-nucleotide ribosomal RNA is filed under the name uncultured bacterium. RNAcentral's name for it is "partial 16S ribosomal RNA". It matches the Rfam family "Bacterial small subunit ribosomal RNA", at positions 524 to 776 of the family's 1533-position model. The record is from RNAcentral.